AUUGAACGCUGGCGGCAUGCCUUACACAUGCAAGUCGAACGGCAGCACGGGAGCAAUCCUGGUGGCGAGUGGCGAACGGGUGAGUAAUAUAUCGGAACGUGCCCAGUCUGGGGGAUAACGUAGCGAAAGCUACGCUAAUACCACAUACGAUCUAUGGAUGAAAGCGGGGGAUCGCAAGACCUCGCGCGAUUGGAGCGGCCGAUAUCAGAUUAGGUAGUUGGUGAGGUAAAGGCUCACCAAGCCGACGAUCUGUAGCUGGUCUGAGAGGACGACCAGCCACACUGGAACUGAGACACGGUCCAGACUCCUACGGGAGGCAGCAGUGGGGAAUUUUGGACAAUGGACGCAAGUCUGAUCCAGCAUUCCGCGUGCAGGAUGAAGGCCUCGGGUGUAAAC
Molecule: ribosomal RNA, 396 nt
Filed under: uncultured bacterium
Lineage: Bacteria
Description: bacterial SSU rRNA
Rfam family: Bacterial small subunit ribosomal RNA
Source: RNAcentral